UCGGCGGCGUCGGCGUGAUGGGGAUGGCGGGCGACUGGGGCAGCGUGGAGCUCGCCCGCUUCUACACCGUCUCCGACAAGGGCCGCUCGCUCUUCGCCGUCACCGCUCACGUAUUUACCCACGACAGCUAACCACCACUACCACCACCACCCCUCCUCCCUACACCGCGCGCAUCUUUUACACAUCGUGUCAAGGUCAAAUGCCGAAGAUGUCUUUAAGGGCGGUUUGACCCACGCCUGAUUGAGGAGCGACGCCAGCGCGCAGAGGACCUCUUGCAGUUCUCAGUCACCGUCUCCGCGCUUCACCAGAGCCACGAGAUCCGUGUGUUUUUCCAAGGAGGCGUCGGCCAAACUUGUGCGCCAUUGCAGAGGGUGACGACUCGCAACGGCCUGUGGCUGCCCCUGGUGCCACCUCUUGGCCCGGGUCCCAGUCCUGGGACUGACCAGGGCUGGUACUCUGGCCAUGGCCUGGAGCAUGUGUCCAGAGUGACCAGAUUAUCGGGAAGGACGGCCACAGAGACUCGUGAAAGCCCUCGGCUGCCGCAUGAUGGAACCGGUGCUCAGACUCCUGGUAUGGUCUCUGGGCUACAGCACAAUGCCUUAGCAUUUCAUAUCAUGUAUGUAUCUAUGACCAAAUCAUGUGGAAUGCACCUGACCUCAUCAGAUUACAGAAGCCGGUUUGAGCGUGGAUCGUUGAUGUUUGGUUAAUCACAGUGUGCAUCAGGGUGUUUUUGGCUGUGGGGCCAUGUGGUGAACAGCAGAGGGCAAUGUGGCAAAAUCCAUCCGAGUAAUGUAUUUUAGCCAUAGGAGUUUUUUUGGGUUCCGUGUUAAUGUAUUUUAAAUGCUCCUACAGCUAUGCUCCCUACCUUCCACCCAUACAGAGGGGCUUGGUGAAGUAUGGUUAAAUGACCCCCAUUGACAUUAUUUCAGCAGCAAUUCUGCAUUAUCACCUCUUCUGGAGCCGUUCUUUGACACAGGGUCAUGCACUGCGAGCUGCAGAGUUCCUAUUGGAAAUGUUGGCAUGACAGAUACUUAGGGUGCAAGUGGAAUAUAUUUUUUUUGGAAAAAGUAAAAUAAAUAAAAGGUGAGUUAAGCAUGCUUCCGUUUGCUAUUUUCUCUUUUGUUCACCUGGCAUUUGAGAGAGCCAUCAAUGUCAGGCUUAUCUAUAUAUAUAAAAUCGUGAAUGUCUGUCUGUCUGUCUGUGUGUGUGUGGAUUUCGGACCAUACGCACUUUCAUUGGACGGCGGUUGCCCCUGGCAACAGCUAGCGACGCCUUCGCCGCUUUCAUUGGACCUGGCAACGGCUAGCGACGCCUUCGCCAAGGGCUGCACUUUCAUUGGACGGCGGUUGCCCCUGCCAACGGCUAGCCACGCCUUCGCCACUUUCAUAGGCUUCGUAAAUAAUUAAAUAAUAGCCAUUUCACAGUAUUGUUCGAGCGCUAGGGGCGGGGGGAAAGAACGCCACCCGUACCCAGCGUUCGCCGGGUGGGAAAAUCAGGCGAGGCGGGAGGCUCUGCACGGUGCUAGGCCUCGACACCCACCACGCCACUCUGAGGUAAAUUCAUACAAAUUUCACGUCCUCUACAGAGUGGUGAGGGAGGCAGAGUGGCGAGGGAGGAACUCAGCCUCAAAACGAGUAACUGGUGUGGCGUAUUAACAUCGCCACUGGGGAGACAAAGGCGGCCGGCCGUGCUGGAUCCAAGUCCCGGGCAAAGCCGGGUCAUGUCUAUGUGUGUAUGUGUUUAUGUGUAUGUCUGUGCGUCUGUAUGUAUGUGUGUAUGUAUGUGUGUGUAUGUGUUUGUGUGUAUGUAUGUGUGUGUAUGUAUGUGGGUUUUUUUGUACGUGUUUAUGUGUAUGUCUGUGUGUCUGAAUGUAUGUGUCUAUGUACGUGUGUGUAUGUGUUUCUGUGUAUGUAUGUGUGUGUUUGUGUGUAUGUCUGUGUGUAUGUAUGCGUGUGUAUGUGUGUGUAUGUGUUUGUGUGUUUGUAUGUGUGUGUGUAUGGAUGUGGGUUUUUUUGUAUGUGUUUAUGUGUAUGUCUGCGUGUCUGUAUGUAUGUGUGUAUGUACGUCUGUGGAUGUGUUUGUGUGUAUGUAUGUGUGUGUCUAUGUAUUGUGUGUAUGUGUUUCUGUGUAUGUAUCUGUGUGUAUGUAUGUGUGUUAUGUGUCUGUGUGUCUGCAUGUAUGUGUGUGUGCAUUGUCUAUGUUUUUGUGUGUAUGUAUGUGUGUGUUUGUGUGUAUGUGUGUGUAUAGAUGUGUGUGUAUGUCUUUGUAUGUGUUUCUGUGUUUAUGCUCGCAUUACACAAAUGUGUUGCAGGUCUAAGGCGUUCCUCGCGCAGCAUUGCCGCUUUCUUUUUUCAGUUUUUACUGCCGUACGCACCCUGACAGUCGUGUGUGUCUGCAGCAAGCGCGUGUAUGUGUAGCUAUGGACGCGCGCGCGUGUGUUGUGUAGGGGGAACGGUAGUGUAGUGCUUAGCGUGCUAUCUGUGUCUGUGUGUGUGUCUGUGUGUGUGCGUGUGUGGUGUGUGGGGAGCGGUAGUGUAGUGCUUAGCGUGCUGUCUGUGUGUCUGUGUGUGUGUGUCUGUCUGUGUCUGUCUGUGUGUGUCUGCGUGUGUCUGUCUGUGUGUGUCUGCGUGUGUCUAUGUGUGUGUGUCUGUGUGUGUAUCUGUGCGUGUGUCGUGUGUGAGGAGCGGUGGGUGUAGUGGUUAACGCUACGCUGCGCUACCAACCCGGCGAACCGAGUUCGAUUCCCGCUCAUGGCCACCCCCGGUCAAGAUUAUUUGAACCUCCCCUAGGUCGACUCAGCCUCAAACGAGUAACUGGUGUGGCGUAUUAACAUCGGCACUGGGGAGACAAAGGCGGCCGAGCGUGGUGGAUCCAAGUCCCGGGCGAGGCCGGGUCAUGUGUAUGUGUGUAUGUGUUUAUGUGUAUGUCUGCGUGUCUGUAUGCAUGUGUGUAUGUAUGUGUGUGUAUGUGUUUGUGUGUAUGUAUGUGUGUGUGUAUGUACGUGCGUUUUUUUGUAUGUGUUUAUGUGUAUGUCUGCGUGUCUGUAUGUAUGUGUGUAUGUACGUCUGUGGAUGUGUUUGUGUGUAUGUAUGUGUGUGUCUAUGUAUUGUGUGUAUGUGUUUCUGUGUAUGUAUCUGCGUGUAUGUAUGUGUGUUAUGUGUCUGUCUGUGUGUCUGCAUGUAUGUGUGUGUGUAUUGUCUAUGUUUUUGUGUGUAUGUAUGUGUGUUUGUGUGUAUGUGUAUGUCUGUGUGUAUGUAUGUGUGUGUAUGUGUUUGUGUGUAUGUGUGUGUAUGUAUGUGUAUGUAUGUGUUUGUAUGUGUUUGUGUGUUUACGCUCGCAUUACACAAAUGUGUUUGCAGGUCUAAGGCGUUCCUCGCGCAGCAUUGCCGCUUUCUUUUUUCAGUCGUUUACUGCCGUACGCACCCUGAAAGUCGUGUGUGUCUGCAGCAAGCGCGUGUAUGUGUACCUAUGGACGCGCGCGCGUGUGUUGUGUAGGGGGAACGGUAGUGUAGUGCUUAGCGUGCUGUCUGUGUCUGUGUGUGUGUGUCUGUGUGUGUGUCUGUGCGUGUGUGGUGUGUGAGGAGCCGUGGGUUUAGUGGUUAACGCUACGCUGCGCUACAAACCCGGCGAACCGAGUUCCAUUCCCGCUCACGGCCACCACCGGUGACGAUUAUUUGAACCUCCCCUAGGUCGACUCAGCCUCAAACGAGUAACUGGUGUGGCGUAUUAACAUCGCCACUGGGGAGACAAA
Long non-coding RNA from Lethenteron reissneri (Far Eastern brook lamprey), 3751 nucleotides. RefSeq lists it as uncharacterized. The record is from RefSeq and is a predicted model, not a curated record. NCBI's taxonomy places the organism in Eukaryota, Metazoa, Chordata, Hyperoartia, Petromyzontiformes, Petromyzontidae.